RNAcentral lists this ribosomal RNA (497 nucleotides) under uncultured bacterium. RNAcentral's name for it is "partial 16S ribosomal RNA". It matches the Rfam family "Bacterial small subunit ribosomal RNA", at positions 28 to 507 of the family's 1533-position model. The record is from RNAcentral.
GAUGAACGCUGGCGGCGUGCCUAAUACAUGCAAGUCGAGCGAACAGACGAGGAGCUUGCUCCUCUGACGUUAGCGGCGGACGGGUGAGUAACACGUGGAUAACCUACCUAUAAGACUGGGAUAACUUCGGGAAACCGGAGCUAAUACCGGAUAAUAUAUUGAACCGCAUGGUUCAAUAGUGAAAGACGGUUUUGCUGUCACUUAUAGAUGGAUCCGCGCCGCAUUAGCUAGUUGGUAAGGUAACGGCUUACCAAGGCAACGAUGCGUAGCCGACCUGAGAGGGUGAUCGGCCACACUGGAACUGAGCCACGGUCCAGACUCCUACGGGAGGCAGCAGUAGGGAAUCUUCCGCAAUGGGCGAAAGCCUGACGGAGCAACGCCGCGUGAGUGAUGAAGGUCUUCGGAUCGUAAAACUCUGUUAUUAGGGAAGAACAAAUGUGUAAGUAACUAUGCACGUCUUGACGGUACCUAAUCAGAAAGCCACGGCUAUCUACGUG